RNAcentral lists this ribosomal RNA (607 nucleotides) under Leuconostoc mesenteroides. RNAcentral's name for it is "bacterial SSU rRNA". It matches the Rfam family "Bacterial small subunit ribosomal RNA", at positions 88 to 683 of the family's 1533-position model. Lineage: Bacteria; Bacillati; Bacillota; Bacilli; Lactobacillales; Lactobacillaceae. The record is from RNAcentral.
UCAGUGAGUGGCGAACGGGUGAGUAACACGUGGACAACCUGCCUCAAGGCUGGGGAUAACAUUUGGAAACAGAUGCUAAUACCGAAUAAAACUUAGUGUCGCAUGACACAAAGUUAAAAGGCGCUUCGGCGUCACCUAGAGAUGGAUCCGCGGUGCAUUAGUUAGUUGGUGGGGUAAAGGCCUACCAAGACAAUGAUGCAUAGCCGAGUUGAGAGACUGAUCGGCCACAUUGGGACUGAGACACGGCCCAAACUCCUACGGGAGGCUGCAGUAGGGAAUCUUCCACAAUGGGCGAAAGCCUGAUGGAGCAACGCCGCGUGUGUGAUGAAGGCUUUCGGGUCGUAAAGCACUGUUGUAUGGGAAGAACAGCUAGAAUAGGAAAUGAUUUUAGUUUGACGGUACCAUACCAGAAAGGGACGGCUAAAUACGUGCCAGCAGCCGCGGUAAUACGUAUGUCCCGAGCGUUAUCCGGAUUUAUUGGGCGUAAAGCGAGCGCAGACGGUUUAUUAAGUCUGAUGUGAAAGCCCGGAGCUCAACUCCGGAAUGGCAUUGGAAACUGGUUAACUUGAGUGCAGUAGAGGUAAGUGGAACUCCAUGUGUAGCGGUG